Molecule: small nuclear RNA, 19 nt
Filed under: Arabidopsis thaliana (thale cress)
Lineage: Eukaryota; Viridiplantae; Streptophyta; Magnoliopsida; Brassicales; Brassicaceae
Description: snRNA_10215
Source: RNAcentral
AGUGUUGGAUUGUUCACCC